RNAcentral lists this ribosomal RNA (371 nucleotides) under uncultured organism. RNAcentral's name for it is "partial 16S ribosomal RNA". It matches the Rfam family "Bacterial small subunit ribosomal RNA", at positions 527 to 896 of the family's 1533-position model. The record is from RNAcentral.
AGAGGGUGCAAGCGUUAAUCGGAAUUACUGGGCGUAAAGCGCGCGUAGGUUGGAAUUUAAGUCAGAUGUGAAAGCCCCGGGCUUAACCUGGGACGGUCAUCUGAUACUGGAUACCUAGAGUACAGGAGAGGGAAGCGGAAUUUCCGGUGUAGCGGUGAAAUGCGUAGAUAUCGGAAAGAACACCAAUGGCGAAGGCAGCUUUCUGGCCUGAUACUGACACUGAGGUGCGAAAGCGUGGGUAGCGAACAGGGAUUAGAUACCCUGGUAGUCCACGCCGUAAACGAUGAGAACUAGCCCGUUGGCUCUUAGUUGAGUAAGUGGCGCAGCAAACGCGAUAAGUUCUCCGCCUGGGGAGUACGGCCGCAAGGUUA